CCACUUGAUUUCCUCAUUUUAUAUCAUGGAGUUCCUAUACAUGCCAAGGUUAGGAAGCGGUACAUCGAAGAUGAGUUGGAUCUUGUGCUCCACUACUUGACUCGACGGUAACCCAUGGGCCUCCUCAAAAAGCCCCAAGUGGUUGUCAAAGAGUUUGGCCAUCUCAUCCUCCUAUUCCCUGCAAGACAAUAUGAAUACAGGAAGGCCCCCAAUAAUAGGGACCACU
RNAcentral lists this long non-coding RNA (226 nucleotides) under Elaeis guineensis (African oil palm). RNAcentral's name for it is "long non-coding RNA (EGUI_LNC045255)". Lineage: Eukaryota; Viridiplantae; Streptophyta; Magnoliopsida; Arecales; Arecaceae. The record is from RNAcentral.